RNAcentral lists this long non-coding RNA (8767 nucleotides) under Gossypium barbadense (sea-island cotton). RNAcentral's name for it is "long non-coding RNA (GBAR_LNC020407)". Lineage: Eukaryota; Viridiplantae; Streptophyta; Magnoliopsida; Malvales; Malvaceae. The record is from RNAcentral.
UCUGUUCCAAGCUCAGCUUUCAUGGGGAACAGCUUGAAGAAAGUGAGCGCUAGGUUCAACAACAACGGCAAGGCUCCAGCGGGAAGUUUCAAGAUUGUGGCUGCCAAAGAAAUCGACGAAGACACGGAGACCGACCAGGACCGAUGGAAGGGUCUUGCUUAUGAUAUCUCCGAUGACCAACAAGACAUUACCAGAGGGAAAGGUAUGGUCGACUCAUUGUUCCAAGCUCCCAUGAACGAUGGUACUCACUAUGCUGUCAUGAGCUCCUAUGAAUACCUUAGCCAAGGCCUUCGCACGUAAGUACAUAUACAUAUACAUCAUAUAUACGCAUUUCGAUUUUUUGUUCAACCCUAAAUUAUAAAUGGUUUGGAUGAUAUAGAUACGACUUGGACAACAACAUGGAUGGAUUCUACAUUGCCCCAGCUUUCAUGGACAAGCUUGUUGUUCACAUCACCAAGAACUUCAUGACCCUUCCUAACAUUAAGGUCUGUAUGUCACCUAUAACAUAUCUAGUGAAAUCUUUUUUUUUUUAAUAAAAUAGCAUUAAAUUUACCAAAUUUUACUACAAUUGUUUCUAUUACAGGUUCCUCUUAUCUUGGGUGUUUGGGGAGGCAAAGGUCAAGGAAAAUCUUUCCAAUGUGAGCUUGUCUUUGCCAAGAUGGGAAUCAAGUGAGUUCAUGUUUUUUUAGAUGCAAAUUCAAGGUCUUGAGUAUAUGGCGACGGGUGAAGUCAAAAAAUUUUGUGGGCUAUAGUUAAACUAUAAAUUUGAUGAAAUUUUAUUAUUGUAUUAACUUAAAAAUUUACUAGUUUUAAAAGGUUAAAUUAUAAAUUUUCUAUUUUUAGAAGGUUUAUAAUUUAAUUAUAAUUUUUUAGAAGCAAAAUGCAAUUAUUCUUUUGUGUUAACUUAAAAUUUUACAAUCGCUAGAUGAGCUAAACAAAAAUUUACCUUAGCUAAAAUAUUAAAUGUCAAUAACUUUAAUGAUUAAAAUGGAUAAAAGGUAUAAAAUUGAGGGUUAAUUUGGUUGGUUUUUUAAAAUUAGAGUCAAAAUUAAUGAAAUGUGUAAAUAAUUAGGGUCUAUUGUGCAAAUAGAAACAUGCUAAUGAAUUAAUAUAAUGAAUUAACAUCACAGCCCCAUUAUGAUGAGUGCCGGAGAAUUGGAAAGUGGGAACGCCGGAGAACCAGCCAAGUUGAUCAGGCAAAGGUACCGUGAGGCCGCCGACAUUAUCAAGAAAGGGAAAAUGUGUUGCCUCUUCAUCAACGAUCUCGACGCUGGAGCCGGUCGUAUGGGAGGAACCACACAAUACACAGUGAACAACCAAAUGGUGAACGCCACACUCAUGAACAUCGCUGAUAACCCCACCAACGUUCAGCUCCCCGGUAUGUACAACAAGGAAGAGAACCCUCGUGUUCCGAUCAUCGUCACCGGUAACGAUUUCUCGACGCUGUACGCGCCUCUCAUCCGUGACGGUCGUAUGGAGAAGUUUUACUGGGCACCCACCAGGGAAGAUAGGAUCGGUGUUUGCACAGGUAUUUUCAGGACCGACAAUGUUCCCGUUGAUGACCUUGUUAAGCUUGUUGACACCUUCCCGGGCCAAUCCAUUGGUAAGCUUCUCUUUCAACACUUUUUCAAUUCGUGGUCUCUAUACAAAGGUCUAAUUUUUGUUUUAGUCCCUCCACAAUGCUAAAAUUCAAAAGUUAAUCCUUCUAAUCUGGUGUGCUCGCAAGUUAUUCAAGUUUGACUUAAAAAUUCGAAUCUGAUUCAAUCAUUCUCGAGCAACUCAAGCUAUUGAGUAAGUCGAAUUCAAGUAUUUUAGUACUUGAGCCUAAUUUGUAUAUUUUAUGAAUUUAUUUUUAAUACUUUGAUGAUAAAUUACUAGUUCAUCUAAAAAAAUGGGUAUAUAGAACAAGGUCAAGCUUAAACUCGAGUUUGGCUAUACAAUUGUGUGUGAAUGAGCUUAAUUGACCUCAAGCUUAUAUAGUAGUAUUUGAUUUAGCUUGAGCUAAGUUUCAAGCAGUGAGUUCUAAAUUAAAUUUGAGCUUGAACUUCUCAGUAUAUGAGCUCAACUCAACUCGAUUACAAUCCUAUUAAUAGGUCCAAAUUGAUAGCAUCAUAUUCAAUCUACAAUAAAUUUACAUGUCAGCCAAAUCUUUAAGUCUAUUUAGAUAUUCUGAUAACAUUAUAAAAGUAGAGGUAUCGAAUUUUGUCAGAUUAAAUUAACCAUAAUUAAAUCCCAUAGGAAUUAUCAUUAACGGUGUAUUUGCAUGUGUGUGGUUCAAUUUGUAGACUUUUUCGGUGCUCUGAGGGCCAGAGUUUACGAUGACGAAGUGAGGAAAUGGAUCGGAGAGGUCGGAGUCAAUGGUGUCGGGAAAAAGCUCGUGAACUCGAGGGAAGGGCCACCAUCUUUCGAGCAACCGAAGAUGACCAUUGAGAAGCUGUUGGAAUAUGGAUACAUGCUUGUUGCUGAGCAAGAGAAUGUGAAGAGGGUUCAAUUGGCUGACAAAUAUUUGAGUGAAGCUGCCCUUGGAAAUGCUAAUGACGAUGCUAUCAAGAGAGGAGCUUUCUAAAUGGGAAAUUAAGCUCUAAGGGAAGAAAAAAAUCUAUAUUGGGCACAAACAAAGGAAAUCCCCCCUUUGUGUCUUAAUUGAAUGUUGUUUUCCUUUUGUGUUUUAAGUGGAUUUGCAUCCUCUAUUUUUGUGUUAUAAAAUCUCCACUUUGUUCUUGUCUUAAAUGUUUCACUUUAUUUGUUCCAAUCAACUUUUUUUUUUUACAUGAUUAGUUUUGAAUAAAAAAUUUCCUGUUAAAAGAUUGUGUUAUUUGAUAAAAAAAAUUGAAUUUUUUUAUAGGAAAAAUAAUUUUUUUUGGUUUCCAUUUCACGAAAAAAAAUUAUUUUAAUUUUUUAUUUAACUUUUUGCCUCUUUUUAUCUCUUGAACUUAUAUUUUUUUGUCAAAUCACCCAGAAAUUGAUAGAAAAGUUAAUGUUUGUUAACUUUGCUAACGUAGCAUACACGUAGAAUGUCACGGAGAUGACAUGUCAAUAUUUAAUUAAUUUUUUAAAAUUUUAAAAAUUAAUUAAAUGUUGAUGUGGCAUACACAUGGUAAGUUAACCAACUUUAAUUUCCAUCUAUUUUGAAGUGAUUUAAUAAAAAACGUAAGUUUAAGGGUUAAAAAAAGAUGAAAAAAAAUAAAUGGAGGGCUAACAUAACCAAAUAAGUCAUUAUGCCAUAAAAAUAUUAUGCGAAAACUGGAAUUGAGAGAAAAAAAGUUAGACCUAUUAUGUGAAAUAUUGUUUACUUCGUAUUUAUAUAUUAUGUCAUUUAAAUCACAUGAAAAUAAAUUUAUAAUAAUGUAUCGGAAAAAUUAAAAAAUUAUUUAAAAUUUUAAUAAAAAAUACUAAAUUAUUAAAUACUAAACUAAAAAUAGUAUAAAAAAUUUUUUUUAAAAAAAUGAAUGUAUUUAAAACAAGCUAAAGUUAAUUAUCUAAAAAAGCUUAAGUAGGUUAAAAUAAUGACACUAUUUUAUUUUAUAUACUUUACAAGCAAAAUCGAGAAGUUAAUUUUAAGGUAUAGUGAAAAAUUAAAUAUGUAAAAAAUAGAUAAUGAACUAUAAAGUGAGAUUACGUCCUUAAAUUAUCAAUGUUAUAUUAAUAAUGUCUAAGAAAAAUAGAUGUUGUAAAAAUUUAGUUUUAAGAUUUUCGGAGCUUUUAUGAAAGCUAUCGGCCACUCUUUUCUAUUCAAUUUUAUUUUUUUCAGUUUUUAAUUUUAAAAUUCAUGUCUCAAAAUUUAACUUUUCUUUAAACUUUAAUUUUAAAUUAUGCCAUUUUACAUGUAAUUUGAUUGUUAAAUUAACAGUUUCAAUAAUAAAUGGACCUUAUUGAUAUAGCAUCGAUAGUUUAGGGAUGUAAUUAAAAUGUUUUAAAGUUUGGGGAUUAAUUUAGAAUAAAUAUUGUAAUUUGAGGAUGUCUAGUGAAUUAACUCAAAAAUUAUUUUAAAUUAAAUUUAAAUAAAUAUUUUAUUAAUAAAAUAGAAUUCAAAUUAGUCAAAAUUUAGCCUUUUUGCUUCCUUUGGACUUAGAGAUAUAUAAUGGGCUAUUAUUGGCCCAUUUAGAAACCCUUGGGCUUUAGAGAGGAUAAUUUGUUUUAUUAUUGAAGCCCAAAAUAGUAUUUGUCCAUAAAUUUAGAAAUUUACAAAAAAAUACAUACAUAUUUUAAUUAAUUUUAAAAAUGUAAAUCCAACUGCAAACACAAUUAUUAUAUUUUUUAAAUUCAUUUUACAUUAUAAGUAUUAUAUUUUACUUGCAAUUAAUUUUUAAUUUCACAAAUAAAAUUAAAAAAAAUCCUUUUAAUAAAUUUUUAUUGUAUAAAAGAUAAAUGAGAAAGGGACUCGAUUCAUCUAGUAUACAAUGGUGAUGUGCAUGCUUGCAUCAUUGGCAUGACAUCACAUUAAGCAACCUCAUAUGAGGACUUAAUUGAAUAUAAAAUAUAAAUGGAAUAUUAUUAUUUAAAUUUGAAUUAAUUAAGUUAUUUGUUCAAUGCUUAAAAGUUUAUUACAAAAAGUCGAUUACGUUUUAACUGAAUUGGCAUGAGCAUUAUUGUUAAUAUAAGAGGACAUGGGUUUGAAUGCGUUGAAUCGUAUUAUCCUCCUAUUUAUAGGUUGGGGAGGGGCUAUAGAUAGUUCUAAGUAUUUAGUAAAAAAAUAAAUAUAAUCAGAACUUAUAAUAAGAUUACUGCAAAAUUGCAUUUAGUAAAUCUCAAAAUAUAUUUAAUUAUUUAAACCUUAAUUUAUUAUAAAUAAAAACAAAGUGAAUGAAUAUCCAAAUAUACGAAAAUUACACACCCAUCACAUCCCUACUAUAAAAAGAGAAAGUGAUGGCUUACCAAACGAUACGUGCAAUUAGGCUUACGAGUUUUGGUAAAAUUUUGCUUUAGGUCCCGAAAAGAAAUUGAUUUUUAUGGUUUGCAAAAUAAAAUCAUCAUUUCUUUCCAAGAAAGUCCUCUAUGGACUAUAUUAGAAGAGAGUGUCAUUUUGACACUUAACCUUAAAAGUUUUGUCGAAUUGCUUUUUGUUAGAUUAAAAAAAUUGAAUGAAUUGGUAAAAUGUUAACGUUAUUGAUAUGGCAGCUCGUGUGACAAUUCACACGUACUUUAUUGUUGACAUUGAUAAUUUUUUUAAAUUUUUUUAUGAUUUUUUAUGAAGUACAUGCCUAAUGAUGGUGGCCUUGCCCCCUUAAAAAGGAAAAGUUUUGUUUAAGUCCCUUUAAAACCAUAAAAUUGUAAUUUAAUAUCUUUUAGAAAUUAUAAAGUUAAAAACUUCCAAUGAAAAAAUUGCAAUUUCACUCUCAGUAAAUUUAUAAUUUAAUUUUGGCCACUCCAAAAAAUUUCCUAGCUUCGCCCCUUAUAUAGGGGUGAGUAAAAUCCAAUUUGAUUUUAAAAACUCGAUAAAAUAUUAAAAUUUUGAAUUAAAUAGUUCGAGUUAAUAGAGUUAUUUGGAUCAACUUGAAUAAAAAAUCAAAAUUUUCAAUUUAAAUCAAAUAUGAAUUGCACAAUUUGAGUUAUCCGAAAAUUCGAAUAAAAAAAGGCAAAACUAUUUCUAAAGUUAAAAGUCAAAACUGUGCCGUUUUAAUAAAUAUUUACCCGUUAAGUUAAAAGAUAAAACCAUUAUAUUAUUUAUUUAAUUAAAUAAUCUCGUAUUUUAUCUACUGAUUAAAUAAUAAAUUUAUGUAAACCUAAUAGUGAGUUAAAUAAUGGUUGGAUGGACGGUUAUGGAAAGACACUCAGCUUACAGUCAACUGAAAUAACAUGGAAUCUGCAGGCGGCGUGGUCCACGUUUAAAAUAACAUGGGGCCAGCACGCGGCAUGGGAUCAAAACAUGUAGACCCCACGUGGAUACAUUUUUUCUCUCGCUCUCGCUUUCUAUACUGUGCCCUACAGGAUCAUGAAUCUUCAUGCUACUUCUUCAUACAGUCUUUUAAUCAACCCAGGUGUCACAAGCUGGGUUGAUCUGUGGUGGACGGCAGAAAGUGGCUUGGGUUAAUGGUCCACCUCAAUUACACGUUUACCACAAAAAAGAGAAAAAGUACUAAGAAAAAAGAAAACCAUAAUGAAAUAUAAAUUUCUUUUAAUGCUUAAUCUCAAGAUCCGCCAUUAACGAUAAAUUAUGUUUUAGUUGAAAUGAUGAAAUAGAAAUAUACGGGUUUUUUUUGAUUUUAUAAAUAAUAUAAACAGAUUAAAAUAUACUUAUAAUAAUAUAAAUUAUUUUGUAAAAAUAUCUUUUUUUUAAGGUUUGUACUUGUCGUUUUUAAUAAUGUUGUCUCUAAAGUUUAAAUUUAUAUUUUCUCUUUGUGAGUGCAAUGUGUCUUACCGUAAUAUUUUUACUUGAAUUCGUAUUCGAUUAACUCAUUACACCAAUUUAAUUAAAAUUUGUAUUAUGGUAGACAUAAUAAUAACAUUAGAAGAAAGUUUUCAAAAGUUUUUAGCUACGAAUGUUUCAAAUAUAAAUUAUUACAAUUUAAAUGAUAGGAGAAGAACUAAAUAAAUGUAGUAUAAUCGUGUUAAAUAGAGACGAACUUAAAAAAUUAUUUUAAGAGGAUCGUAGAUGGAUCAUAAAUUAUUAUGGGUAAGGUAUAAUUUUAUCAUUAUAAAAAUAUAUAAGUGCAUGGGUUCUUUUUACAUGUUUAUUAAUUUUUUUUUGAAUAAUCUCAUUUUAGGUUCUGAUCAUAUAUGUUCCUUUUGACACAAUACUUAAAACUACCUAUAGUCUCCCCAACCCAUAAAUAAGAGGAUAAUACGUUUCAGCUCACUAAAACCCACAUCCUCCUGCAUCGGUACAAUCGAGUUAAAACACAAUCGGCAUAUGUAUAUUAAAUUUAAGUGAAGUGAUAUGGUUUAAUCUAAUCUAGAGUUUGUCUUUUGGACAAAUUUUUAAUAAUGAUGAUUUAACUUUUUGUGUGUGUGUUUAAUUUGAUUAAAUUAUUAAGUAACAUGGAUAUUUAAUUUAAUAAAUAAUUCCCAAAAGUUUGGUGAAGUAGCCACUAACAUGAUAGUAGAAGAAAGUGUAUUUUCUAAUACAACGUGUGUUUAUUUGACAUUUGGUGUUUGUAUUCAUUCCAUUGAUUAAAUUAAUACUUAAAACUUUAAAUAUAAAAUCCAUAAAAUGGUCAGACCAUGCAGGUAAUGGUUAAAAUAAUAGGGCAUUAGAUUAUGUUAUUUAAUUUUUACCUAAAAUUAUAUUGUUUUUCAUGCUUUGGUCAACAUUUGAUUUUUUUUAUAUUAGUAGUUUAUAUAUCUUAAUUUAAUAGGCAAUGUUAAAAAUUAUCAAAUAUCUCGUUUUUUAUUAAAUUAUUUUUUAAUAAAUUUUUUUGCAUAAGCUCGGAACGAACGGAGAUAGAAUCAGACUGAUUCCCUAAGUGCUUUUUUGGACGUUCUUCAAUGUCCUGGCUAUUCACGGAAUGUGGGAAAUGGAUGAAUAAUCAUCUGCUUCCGGAAGAAAUUGAAGGAUUUCUUGGGAAUCCUACAAGAUCCAUUCGUUCUUUUUUUCUCUAAUAGAUGGUCAGAACUUCAUCUGGGUUCGAAUCCUACUGAGAGGUCCACUAGAAAUCAGAAAUUGUUGAAGAAAGAAUAAGAUGUUUCUCUUGUCCCUUCUAGGCGAUCAAAAAAUAAAGAAAUAGUUGAUAUGGUUCCGAAAGAUGAACUGGGCAGUUCCAAUAAGAUUUCAUUCUUGAACAAAAAUGGAACCAAACUGGAUCUAGUGUAUUUUAAGGGAUUUGCCUUUUCUAUUGAUUCCUACGGAUUGAAUUUUUUUUUGAAUAAGCUCAUUAUAAGUUCUGAUCAUAUCUGCCUUUUUGAUACAAUGUUUAGAACUACUCAUAGUCCAUCCCCAACCUAUAAAUAGGAGGAUAAUGUGCUUUAGCGCACUCGAACCCAUGUCCUCAUGUAUUGGUAACAAUACCCAUGCCAAUUGAGUUAUAAUUCAAGCGACAUUUUUUAGUAUUUUAUUAAAUAUUUAUUUAUUAAAUUAUUUUUAGUAUUUUAAAAAAUAUAUAUUUUACCUUAAAAAUAAAAAUAAAAUUUUAUAUUUCAAAUUUGCUAUUUGUUAAUAUUAAUAAAGCUUAAAUAUGCAUUUGGUUGGAAAACUUUGAUGAGGAUAGUGGAUGAAAAGUAUGUUUGGGUAUUAAGUUAUGAUAAAAAUAAAUAAAAAUAUAAGAAUCAAAUUGAUAAAAGAAAUCAAGUUCUUAGACUAAAUGCAUAAUUGACCAUAUUAAUAUCUACCUAUUGAAAUUUAAACUUUUAAUGGAGAGGUUAAUUAAAGAAACACCAAUUUAAAAAAAACAAUUAGGGAUUUAGGUUUUUUUUUUCUAAAUUUAAGGAAAUAGGUCAAUUUUGGAGAGAGAAAUAGAAAACACGUCUUGCAAUGCUUCCUGCAAGACAUGUUUUCUGUCUUUUUUAAAAUAUAUAUUUUUGUUGGGUGUUGAAAAUUUUGGGAGAAAAUUUAUUUGUGUUAGUGUUUGAGUUUGACAUUGUGAUAGUUUUAAGGUAUGUUUAAGUUUACGGUGAUGCGAUAGUGCUUGGAGACCCACACAUUUUAUCUGUUAGUGGGGAUAGAAUCAUCACUUUAGAAUCCCAUCGAAUUGCAACUCAGGCUCUUAGUUCACGGUGGUUAUAUGGUCGUGGGUUAAAGUAUAAGUCGGGCCCCCAGUAGAUGGUGGUUAUGUGGUCACGGGUUCAAGUUUUAUAAUACUGAAAGAAAAUACUUUAUAAACCUCAUACAUAA